AACCGACUAAUGUUGAAAAAUUAGCGGAUGACUUGUGGCUGGGGGUGAAAGGCCAAUCAAACCGGGAGAUAGCUGGUUCUCCCCGAAAGCUAUUUAGGUAGCGCCUCGUGAAUUCAUCUCCGGGGGUAGAGCACUGUUUCGGCAAGGGGGUCAUCCCGACUUACCAACCCGAUGCAAACUGCGAAUACCGGAGAAUGUUAUCACGGGAGACACACGGCGGGUGCUAACGUCCGUCGUGAAGAGGGAAACAACCCAGACCGCCAGCUAAGGUCCCAAAGUCAUGGUUAAGUGGGAAACGAUGUGGGAAGGCCCAGACAGCCAGGAUGUUGGCUUAGAAGCAGCCAUCAUUUAAAGAAAGCGUAAUAGCUCACUGGUCGAGUCGGCCUGCGCGGAAGAUGUAACGGGGCUAAACCAUGCACCGAAGCUGCGGCAGCGACACUGUGUGUUGUUGGGUAGGGGAGCGUUCUGUAAGCCUGCGAAGGUGUGCUGUGAGGCAUGCUGGAGGUAUCAGAAGUGCGAAUGCUGACAUAAGUAACGAUAAAGCGGGUGAAAAGCCCGCUCGCCGGAAGACCAAGGGUUCCUGUCCAACGUUAAUCGGGGCAGGGUGAGUCGACCCCUAAGGCGAGGCCGAAAGGCGUAGUCGAUGGGAAACAGGUUAAUAUUCCUGUACUUGGUGUUACUGCGAAGGGGGGACGGAGAAGGCUAUGUUGGCCGGGCGACGGUUGUCCCGGUUUAAGCGUGUAGGCUGGUUUUCCAGGCAAAUCCGGAAAAUCAAGGCUGAGGCGUGAUGACGAGGCACUACGGUGCUGAAGCAACAAAUGCCCUGCUUCCAGGAAAAGCCUCUAAGCAUCAGGUAACAUCAAAUCGUACCCCAAACCGACACAGGUGGUCAGGUAGAGAAUACCAAGGCGCUUGAGAGAACUCGGGUGAAGGAACUAGGCAAAAUGGUGCCGUAACUUCGGGAGAAGGCACGCUGAUAUGUAGGUGAAGUCCCUCGCGGAUGGAGCUGAAAUCAGUCGAAGAUACCAGCUGGCUGCAACUGUUUAUUAAAAACACAGCACUGUGCAAACACGAAAGUGGACGUAUACGGUGUGACGCCUGCCCGGUGCCGGAAGGUUAAUUGAUGGGGUCAGCGCAAGCGAAGCUCUUGAUCGAAGCCCCGGUAAACGGCGGCCGUAACUAUAACGGUCCUAAGGUAGCGAAAUUCCUUGUCGGGUAAGUUCCGACCUGCACGAAUGGCGUAAUGAUGGCCAGGCUGUCUCCACCCGAGACUCAGUGAAAUUGAACUCGCUGUGAAGAUGCAGUGUACCCGCGGCAAGACGGAAAGACCCCGUGAACCUUUACUAUAGCUUGACACUGAACAUUGAGCCUUGAUGUGUAGGAUAGGUGGGAGGCUUUGAAGUGUGGACGCCAGUCUGCAUGGAGCCGACCUUGAAAUACCACCCUUUAAUGUUUGAUGUUCUAACGUUGACCCGUGAUCCGGGUUGCGGACAGUGUCUGGUGGGUAGUUUGACUGGGGCGGUCUCCUCCUAAAGAGUAACGGAGGAGCACGAAGGUUGGCUAAUCCUGGUCGGACAUCAGGAGGUUAGUGCAAUGGCAUAAGCCAGCUUGACUGCGAGCGUGACGGCGCGAGCAGGUGCGAAAGCAGGUCAUAGUGAUCCGGUGGUUCUGAAUGGAAGGGCCAUCGCUCAACGGAUAAAAGGUACUCCGGGGAUAACAGGCUGAUACCGCCCAAGAGUUCAUAUCGACGGCGGUGUUUGGCACCUCGAUGUCGGCUCAUCACAUCCUGGGGCUGAAGUAGGUCCCAAGGGUAUGGCUGUUCGCCAUUUAAAGUGGUACGCGAGCUGGGUUUAGAACGUCGUGAGACAGUUCGGUCCCUAUCUGCCGUGGGCGCUGGAGAACUGAGGGGGGCUGCUCCUAGUACGAGAGGACCGGAGUGGACGCAUCACUGGUGUUCGGGUUGUCAUGCCAAUGGCACUGCCCGGUAGCUAAAUGCGGAAGAGAUAAGUGCUGAAAGCAUCUAAGCACGAAACUUGCCCCGAGAUGAGUUCUCCCUGACUCCUUGAGAGUCCUGAAGGAACGUUGAAGACGACGACGUUGAUAGGCCGGGUGUGUAAGCGCAGCGAUGCGUUGAGCUAACCGGUACUAAUGAACCGUGAGGCUUAACCUUACAACGCCGAAGGUGUUU
RNAcentral lists this ribosomal RNA (2188 nucleotides) under Escherichia coli. Its description in RNAcentral is "partial 23S ribosomal RNA". It matches the Rfam family "Bacterial large subunit ribosomal RNA", at positions 777 to 2925 of the family's 2925-position model. The record is from RNAcentral. Lineage: Bacteria; Pseudomonadati; Pseudomonadota; Gammaproteobacteria; Enterobacterales; Enterobacteriaceae.